RNAcentral lists this ribosomal RNA (768 nucleotides) under Salmonella enterica subsp. enterica serovar Montevideo. RNAcentral describes it as "partial 23S ribosomal RNA". It matches the Rfam family "Bacterial large subunit ribosomal RNA", at positions 2166 to 2925 of the family's 2925-position model. Lineage: Bacteria; Pseudomonadati; Pseudomonadota; Gammaproteobacteria; Enterobacterales; Enterobacteriaceae. The record is from RNAcentral.
GGACGCCAGUCUGCAUGGAGCCGACCUUGAAAUACCACCCUUUAAUGUUUGAUGUUCUAACGUGGACCCGUGAUCCGGGUUGCGGACAGUGUCUGGUGGGUAGUUUGACUGGGGCGGUCUCCUCCUAAAGAGUAACGGAGGAGCACGAAGGUUGGCUAAUCCUGGUCGGACAUCAGGAGGUUAGUGCAAUGGCAUAAGCCAGCUUGACUGCGAGCGUGACGGCGCGAGCAGGUGCGAAAGCAGGUCAUAGUGAUCCGGUGGUUCUGAAUGGAAGGGCCAUCGCUCAACGGAUAAAAGGUACUCCGGGGAUAACAGGCUGAUACCGCCCAAGAGUUCAUAUCGACGGCGGUGUUUGGCACCUCGAUGUCGGCUCAUCACAUCCUGGGGCUGAAGUAGGUCCCAAGGGUAUGGCUGUUCGCCAUUUAAAGUGGUACGCGAGCUGGGUUUAGAACGUCGUGAGACAGUUCGGUCCCUAUCUGCCGUGGGCGCUGGAGAACUGAGGGGGGCUGCUCCUAGUACGAGAGGACCGGAGUGGACGCAUCACUGGUGUUCGGGUUGUCAUGCCAAUGGCACUGCCCGGUAGCUAAAUGCGGAAGAGAUAAGUGCUGAAAGCAUCUAAGCACGAAACUUGCCCCGAGAUGAGUUCUCCCUGAGACUUUAGGUCUCCUGAAGGAACGUUGAAGACGACGACGUUGAUAGGCCGGGUGUGUAAGCGCAGCGAUGCGUUGAGCUAACCGGUACUAAUGAACCGUGAGGCUUAACCUUACA